UACGGGGGGUGCAAGCGUUAUUCGGAAUUAUUGGGCGUAAAGGGCGCGCAGGCUGUUUUAUAAGUCAGAUGUGAAAGCCCGGGGCUUAACCCCGGAAGUGCAUUUGAAACUAUAAGACUUGAGUAUGGGAGAGGGAAGUGGAAUUCCUGGUGUAGAGGUGAAAUUCGUAGAUAUCAGGAGGAACACCGGUGGCGAAGGCGGCUUCCUGGACCAAUACUGACGCUGAGGCGCGAAGGCGUGGGGAGCAAACAGGAUUAGAUACCCGCGUA
Molecule: ribosomal RNA, 269 nt
Filed under: uncultured prokaryote
Description: partial 16S ribosomal RNA
Rfam family: Bacterial small subunit ribosomal RNA
Source: RNAcentral